CCUACGUGAGGCAGCAGUGAGGAAUAUUGGUCAAUGGGCGAGAGCCUGAACCAGCCAAGUCGCGUGAGGGAGUACUGCCCUAUGGGUUGUACACCUCUUUUGUCGGGGAGCAAAAGCCGGACGUGUCCGGCUGUGAGAGUACCCGAUGAAAAAGCAUCGGCUAACUCCGUGCCAGCCGCCGCGGUAAUACGGGGGAUGCGAGCGUUAUCCGGAUUUAUUGGGUUUAAAGGGUGCGCAGGCGGAUUUUUAAGUCAGCGGUCAAAUCGUGGGGCUCAACCCCAUCCAGCCUGUGAAACUGGGGAUCCAGAGUGUGCGAGAGGUAUGCGGAAUGCGUGGUGUAGCGGUGAAAUGCAUAGAUAUCACGCAGAACCCCGAUUGCGAAGGCAGCAUACCGGUGCACAACUGACGCUCAGGCACGAAAGCGUGGGUAUCGAACAGGAUUAGAUACCCGAGUAGUC
RNAcentral lists this ribosomal RNA (458 nucleotides) under uncultured bacterium. Its description in RNAcentral is "partial 16S ribosomal RNA". It matches the Rfam family "Bacterial small subunit ribosomal RNA", at positions 338 to 795 of the family's 1533-position model. The record is from RNAcentral.